Long non-coding RNA from Capsicum annuum, 499 nucleotides. RefSeq lists it as uncharacterized. The transcript has 3 exons. NCBI's taxonomy places the organism in Eukaryota, Viridiplantae, Streptophyta, Magnoliopsida, Solanales, Solanaceae. The record is from RefSeq and is a predicted model, not a curated record.
AAAUUAAUUGUUGUAAACUUACAGGGACUGGUUUCACUUUCAUUGACUUCAUACAUUUUCUUAGUCAAGUCAUACCAUUGGGAAGUAUGACGCUUGACGUGUAAGUUUGAACAAAUACUACCCUAGCAUAGGUACCCCAUGGCUUCCCAAGAAUUGCACUCUUCACUCCGGUGAUCUUGCAUCCCACAAAGGUGAAGCCCGUGUUUUCCCGAGCUACCAAUGAAGUGAUUGAAUACCUGAGAAGUGAAACUAACAUACUACGUGAACAAGUAGAUGAGUUGAGGAGUGAAAUGGCAUCAAUGAGGGAAUGUGACGGCUGAAAACCGCAUAGACAAUAAAAAAUUGAAAGAUAAGCGUAAAUCCACCGGUGGUAAAAAGCCUCCCAGACCUCCAAGAGGAUUAUCCUUGGAUGCUGCUGACCAAAAGCUUAUCAAAGAGAUCAUCGAACUCGCAAUGAUCAAACGUGCGUGAAUUGAGCGAAUCAAGGCGUUAAAGAAAA